CUUUAUUGGAGAGUUUGAUCCUGGCUCAGGACGAACGCUGGCGGCGUGCCUAAUACAUGCAAGUCGAGCGAAUCGGAGGGAGC
This 83-nucleotide ribosomal RNA is filed under the name Mesobacillus foraminis. RNAcentral describes it as "Bacillus foraminis partial 16S ribosomal RNA". It matches the Rfam family "Bacterial small subunit ribosomal RNA", at positions 1 to 81 of the family's 1533-position model. Lineage: Bacteria; Bacillati; Bacillota; Bacilli; Caryophanales; Bacillaceae. The record is from RNAcentral.